CCUCACCUGCGCAUGUGUCCAGGUGCGGAGCGUUGGCUUCGGCCUCGCUGGUUCACGGCCUGCACCAUCAUCCUGCCGGUACAGCUCACCCUGCCCUGCGAGGUAGAGAGAGAGAGAGAGAGCGAGAGAGAGAGAGAGAAAAAGAGAGAGAGAGAGGAAGAGGUGUUGACACUCCACCGCAGCACAAGCAGCAGUCAAACAGGGAGGAGGAAAUAAAAUGUGAGUGUUGGAGCUGGAAAAGGCUGUUAGAAAGCCUGUAGCACAUGGACUUUUGACCCUCAUGAGGGCUUUAGUGAUUUCCCGUCUCAUUCAACGCCCUCUUCCUCUUCAGGCCGGAGACUAUUAUCUCGAUACUCAUUAUUCUCUCGCUAAUGGGCGCUGACGUCUUCUAAGGAGCGGCCAAACAGACGUGUGUGUGCAUUUUUUCUUUCUACGAAAAGGUACACAGACAUUUCUAUAACAUUUCAUUUUUUUCCAGAGCUCUGCAGCCGUCUGCUCACCUCGGGGUUGCCCGCCAUGAUGGUGUAGUUGCCGUCGUCAUCGAGUGAGGCUGCAGCGGUGUGCAGGGAGCAGGUUCCAUCAGCGUCGCGGCUGAUCCUGUAGUGCUCGCUCCUCUUGGAGAUUUGCUUGCCAUCUUUAAACCAGUAGACCUGUAACACAAGACAGGGACAGAGGGGAACGAUCAGACAAAGUUAGGAUUUACCAGUUCAUCCUGAAGCCUGUCAUCACCAUGCCAUUAAUGUGUACAGAACCAGGCAGGCAGCCCAGGCCAGGCCAGGCCAGUGUGUGUUCUCGCAAGGGGCUUCCCCUUAUCACAACACGGAGCAUAUGUGCAACAUCUACACCCUCCGUCAUCAACAUCACACAUCAGCAACUCCCAAAGCAAAGGGAGCCAAGUCCUGUUUUAAAUGCCUCAAAAUGACCAAAUAUGCAUCUAAUGAUUAGUAACUGCCACAGCAUCCCCACCAACAAUGUUUCAUCAUACAGGGCGAUGACAUUUUUCGGUAAACAUGUUCAACCUCCCACCUUUGGUUUGGGGUCUCCGUGGACCUUGCAGGAGAAGGUGACGGGCAUGCCCUCGAAGACUUUGUAGUGUUUGAGCUUCUGGUCGAAGGAUGGUGCCUUCCCCCGCCCGGCUGAGUCUUCAUCGUGCUGCACAUCGUCGUCUGAUUCCUCCACCGGUGAACGCUCUAGACGGAAUUCAAUCUCACUGAUCAGACGCUGCUCAAAGCUGGACACUUUGUAUUCCUACAUGCCAGAGAAGGAGAACAAAAUGUUUUUAGAGAAAGAAUGAGACAGAAGUUUGUGUGAUCAUGUGGGAAGGGACAACACAUUCAAGAGCGUGCAGAAAGCUAUCACUGAAACCCUAUUUUCCCUAUUCUACAUUUAACACACAAUCAUGAACCUGUCUUGAUUGUCAUCCAAACUGGCAACUUUCUCCCAAUUUCCUAAUUCCUCACUGCCCCUACUCCUCCUUCCCACCACCUCCAUCAAUCUGUCAUCACUGUAGCUCUGCUGAGGCAGAGGGAACAUCUGCAGGGCAACAUGGUCCAAUGACACAUCACACAGAUAAUGACAGGCCUUGGGAACAGCUGCAGAACCAGCAUUUAUCCUCAAUCUGCCACUCAUAACGGCAGCAAUCACAGAAGUGGCCCAUCCUGAUCUCUUGAGGUAUCAUCCUGCAAUAGCGCAGAGGCAGCUGCUGCAGCAUGCUCUAAAAAUCUAACAAAGUAUUAUUCAAUUAUCCUUGCUUUCUAAAAAGAUUUAACUUAAUUGCUGGCUUAAAUCUCAAAUGCAAAUUAAAGUUGCAGCAUGCAUCGCGUGAUGGACACAGACGGAACAAAGUGCAACCUGUGUGAAAACGUGCCGCAAUCAAGCUACAACAUGCGCACACCUGCCUGUGAAUGGACUACACAAUGAAUAUGGAACCGCAGGGACCAAAAAAUAAAAUUCCGUGUCGCUGCCUUUUGUGUGCCACUUGUUCCCUUAUCAGCUAAUCCCCAGGCCUGAUCCUGUUUUCGCCAGAGUGAACGCAUCCUAGCUUUUAGUGUGACUCUGUGUGCACAUUUACACACAAGGGGACAGAGAGAAACAAAGCUUUCAAACACCUUUUGAGGGAAAUAUUCUCUAUCAGAUGACUCGUCUUCCUGUGGAGAGAAACAGUUGUUUUUUCUAUGUUGUACUCUACUGUUACUGUGCAUCACACAGGGUGGCAAACACGUGUGCGUUGUUUAAAUUCACAUGAUGUACUUGUAAAAUUGUAAAAUACGACGUCUCACGAUGCGUUGGUACAGAUGCAUUCCCGGGCUUAGAGUUUGUGCUCAGAGCCAUGCAGUGCUGUAGUGCCACAACCAAUCAGAUCGCUUCUCAUGCCAACAGGCACACGGAGAUGACACGUGCAGACACAACUUGUGUUCUAGUGGUGUUCAUUACAUCUGCAUUGUGACUUCACUUAUGAGUCAAAUUUCUAUAUUUAUUUAUUACUCUUGGGGGAAUUGUUUGGUCUCUGUAAUAUUAUUUGACAUUAUGAAUAAAAUUUAAUUGAAAUUGAA
Molecule: long non-coding RNA, 2552 nt
Organism: Perca flavescens (yellow perch)
Lineage: Eukaryota; Metazoa; Chordata; Actinopteri; Perciformes; Percidae
Exons: 3
Source: RefSeq, a predicted model, not a curated record